CCUAACACAUGCAAGUCGAGCGGAUGAAGGGAGCUUGCUCCUGGAUUCAGCGGCGGACGGGUGAGUAAUGCCUAGGAAUCUGCCUGGUAGUGGGGGAUAACGUCCGGAAACGGGCGCUAAUACCGCAUACGUCCUGAGGGAGAAAGUGGGGGAUCUUCGGACCUCACGCUAUCAGAUGAGCCUAGGUCGGAUUAGCUAGUUGGUGGGGUAAAGGCCUACCAAGGCGACGAUCCGUAACUGGUCUGAGAGGAUGAUCAGUCACACUGGAACUGAGACACGGUCCAGACUCCUACGGGAGGCAGCAGUGGGGAAUAUUGGACAAUGGGCGAAAGCCUGAUCCAGCCAUGCCGCGUGUGUGAAGAAGGUCUUCGGAUUGUAAAGCACUUUAAGUUGGGAGGAAGGGCAGUAAGUUAAUACCUUGCUGUUUUGACGUUACCAACAGAAUAAGCACCGGCUAACUUCGUGCCAGCAGCCGCGGUAAUACGAAGGGUGCAAGCGUUAAUCGGAAUUACUGGGCGUAAAGCGCGCGUAGGUGGUUCAGCAAGUUGGAUGUGAAAUCCCCGGGCUCAACCUGGGAACUGCAUCCAAAACUACUGAGCUAGAGUACGGUAGAGGGUGGUGGAAUUUCCUGUGUAGCGGUGAAAUGCGUAGAUAUAGGAAGGAACACCAGUGGCGAAGGCGACCACCUGGACUGAUACUGACACUGAG
This 708-nucleotide ribosomal RNA is filed under the name Pseudomonas aeruginosa. RNAcentral describes it as "bacterial SSU rRNA". It matches the Rfam family "Bacterial small subunit ribosomal RNA", at positions 47 to 750 of the family's 1533-position model. The record is from RNAcentral. Lineage: Bacteria; Pseudomonadati; Pseudomonadota; Gammaproteobacteria; Pseudomonadales; Pseudomonadaceae.